Molecule: ribosomal RNA, 486 nt
Filed under: Triticum aestivum (bread wheat)
Lineage: Eukaryota; Viridiplantae; Streptophyta; Magnoliopsida; Poales; Poaceae
Description: partial small subunit ribosomal RNA
Source: RNAcentral
AUGAGAGGCUCCAGGACCUAUGGUCGUUUCAGUUGUAGUGUUGUUGAUUCAUCUUGGCUUGACCUUCUGCCCGAAGACGACGGCGACGGCGACGGCACGGACCACCGCGUCCUUCAGUGGCUGCUGCUCCUCGCGUUCACCAGCACCGCGCUUGAGCAUGGGGCCGCCGCAUCUGGCCACCACGCGACACGGGCCGCUCCUUGGCUCGAGCUCAAGGUGGUCAGUGCGACGAGGCGGAGAACAAGGUCUGGGAGGUCGACGGUGCACUUGAGGGCGAGGCGAGGCCCUGGGGCGGCGGGGGCAACAGGAGAGGCAGAGAUGAGAGGAGGCAUCUGCGGUGGCGCGGCGGGGGCAGCAGGAGAGAAGGCAGAGAUGAGAGGAGGUGGCUGUGGUGGCGCGGCGGCGGCAGCAGGAGAGGAGGCGGCGGCGGGGUCGUGGGGGAGUGAAAGGAAUCGAGGAGGAGUUGAGAUAUUUUCAUCUCCGUGA